This 278-nucleotide ribosomal RNA is filed under the name uncultured eukaryote. RNAcentral describes it as "partial 18S ribosomal RNA". It matches the Rfam family "Eukaryotic small subunit ribosomal RNA", at positions 21 to 298 of the family's 1831-position model. The record is from RNAcentral.
UAGUCAUACGCUCGUCUCAAAGAUUAAGCCAUGCAUGUCUAAGUACAAGCACUUGUACUGUGAAACUGCGAAUGGCUCAUUAUAUCAGUUAUAGUUUAUUUGAUAGAUGCCUACUACAUGGAUAACCGUAGUAAUUCUAGAGCUAAUACAUGCAAAAAGGCCCGACUUUAUGGAAGGGCUGUAUUUAUUAGAUAGAAACCAUCACGGGAUCAAUCCCGGUGCUGUGGUGAGUCAUAAUAACUAAGCGAAUCGCAUGGCUUCGGCUGGCGAUGAAUCAU